AUAGAAGAGCAGGGUUUAAGAAACAAUCUACCAAAGCCAAUAAGCAGACAAGCCAAUCUCUUGGUCGAGUCUACAAAUCUCUAGAAUUCGUAGAUCAUACAUCCAUUUGAACGUCUUUUGGACGCUGGACGUCUAAGAUCGAAUCUCUACAUUAGCCAACCAAAACCGCAUAGGGGCCAAGCGAAUCCAAAAGGGUACUAACUUAAACACUAACCACCUAACUAACCUAGAGAUUACCCUAAUCUAAUCCAUCCUCAAGAACCCUAAUCACUACUCAAGCAACAUUCUCAAGAACACAAACCCUGAAAUUACUGAAAUCAUAUCAAAAUGUAGAUCUAAACAAGCUAAACAACUUUACUAUAA
This 363-nucleotide small RNA is filed under the name Arabidopsis thaliana (thale cress). RNAcentral describes it as "ATSL202690". The record is from RNAcentral. Lineage: Eukaryota; Viridiplantae; Streptophyta; Magnoliopsida; Brassicales; Brassicaceae.